UGAUGGAAUCUCCAUCACUGACAAUGUUUAAAUCAAGAUUGGCUGUUAUUCUAAAAGAUCUGCUCCAGGACAUAUUUUUGGGAAGUUCUCUGGCCUGUUAUAUAG
Molecule: long non-coding RNA, 105 nt
Organism: Gopherus evgoodei (Goodes thornscrub tortoise)
Lineage: Eukaryota; Metazoa; Chordata; Testudines; Testudinidae
Exons: 3
Source: RefSeq, a predicted model, not a curated record